This 253-nucleotide ribosomal RNA is filed under the name uncultured bacterium. Its description in RNAcentral is "partial 16S ribosomal RNA". It matches the Rfam family "Bacterial small subunit ribosomal RNA", at positions 524 to 776 of the family's 1533-position model. The record is from RNAcentral.
UACGUAGGGGGCAAGCGUUGUCCGGAUUUAUUGGGCGUAAAGAGCGUGUAGGCGGCCAGGUAGGUCUGCUGUGAAAACUCGAGGCUCAACCUCGAGACGUCGGCGGAAACCAUCUGGCUAGAGUCCGGAAGAGGAGAGUGGAAUUCCUGGUGUAGCGGUGAAAUGCGCAGAUAUCAGGAAGAACACCCGUGGCGAAGGCGGCUCUCUGGGACGGUACUGACGCUGAGACGCGAAAGCGUGGGGAGCGAGCAGG